Beta vulgaris subsp. vulgaris (sugar beet) is the source of this 296-nucleotide long non-coding RNA. RefSeq lists it as uncharacterized. NCBI's taxonomy places the organism in Eukaryota, Viridiplantae, Streptophyta, Magnoliopsida, Caryophyllales, Amaranthaceae. The transcript has 2 exons. The record is from RefSeq and is a predicted model, not a curated record.
AUUGUAGCUUACGGCUACACUAAAGAGUCGUUUAGACCGAGAUAGUUGUUUAACUGUGAUUCGAAAAGGUACAUGAAGGUAAUGUAUAAUGAAGAAGGUUCGAUGUUGGAAGUUUGUUGUAUGCUUUAUACUAGUUGUAUCGCGGCGAGGACGAUCAACUUUGUAAUAUUAUAGUUAAUAGUUAAUUUGUAAUUAAAUUAAAAAGGUUUGAGUUUGUAAAGUCUAGACUUGUUUGGGUUGCUGGAUUUUGAGGAUACAGGAUUAUGAAUCGGACGCGAGUCCUAAAUUACGUUUUA